GCAAAACGCGAAGAACCUUACCAGCCCUUGACAUGGCGUCUAAAUCCCGGUGUGAGCUGGGGCUCCCGCAAGGGGGGCGUCACAGGUGCUGCAUGGCUGUCGUCAGCUCGUGUCGUGAGAUGUUGGGUUAAGUCCCGCAACGAGCGCAACCCUUGCCUUUAGUUGCCAUCGGGUAGGGCCGGGCACUCUAAAGGAACUGCCGGUGACAAGCCGGAGGAAGGUGGGGAUGACGUCAAGUCCUCAUGGCCCUUAUGGGCUGGGCUACACACGUGCUACAAUGGCGGUGACAAUGGGCAGCGAAAGAGCGAUCUGGAGCUAAUCCCCAAAAGCCGUCUCAGUUCGGAUCGCGGGCUGCAACUCGCCCGCGUGAAGGUGGAAUCGCUAGUAAUCGUGGAUCAGCAUGCCACGGUGAAUACGUUCCCGGGUCUUGUACACACCG
RNAcentral lists this ribosomal RNA (439 nucleotides) under uncultured bacterium. RNAcentral describes it as "bacterial SSU rRNA". It matches the Rfam family "Bacterial small subunit ribosomal RNA", at positions 954 to 1392 of the family's 1533-position model. The record is from RNAcentral.